RNAcentral lists this ribosomal RNA (403 nucleotides) under uncultured bacterium. RNAcentral describes it as "partial 16S ribosomal RNA". It matches the Rfam family "Bacterial small subunit ribosomal RNA", at positions 338 to 733 of the family's 1533-position model. The record is from RNAcentral.
CCUACGGGAGGCUGCAGUGGGGAAUAUUGCGCAAUGGGCGAAAGCCUGACGCAGCGACGCCGCGUGAGGGAUGAAGGUCUUCGGAUCGUAAACCUCUGUCAGCAGGGAAGAACGGUCACUGUGCUAAUCCGCAGUGAAUUGACGGUACCUGCAAAGGCCGCAUCGGCUAACUCCGUGCCAGCAGCCGCGGGAAUACGGAGGGUGCGAGCGUUAAUCGGAAUUACUGGGCGUAAAGCGUUCGUAGGCGGUCUGUCAAGUCAAGGGUGAAAUCCCCGCGCACAACGUGGGCAGUGCCUUUGAAACUGGCAGACUGGAGUGGGGGAGAGGAGAGUGGAAUUCGAGGUGUAGGAGUGAAAUCCGUAGAUAUCGGGAGGAACAUCAGUGGCGAAGGCGACUAUCUGGC